This 583-nucleotide ribosomal RNA is filed under the name uncultured bacterium. RNAcentral's name for it is "partial 16S ribosomal RNA". It matches the Rfam family "Bacterial small subunit ribosomal RNA", at positions 356 to 1375 of the family's 1533-position model. The record is from RNAcentral.
UGGGAAUUUUGGACAAUGGGCGAAAGCCUGAUCCAGCAAUGCCGCGUGUGUGAAGAAGGCCUUCGGGUUGUAAAGCACUUUUGUCCGGAAAGAAAUCCUUGGCUCUAAUACAGUCGGGGGAUGACGGUACCGGAAGAAUAAGCACCGGCUAACUACGUGCCAGCAGCCGCGGUAAUACGUAGGGUGCAAGCGUUAAUCGGAAUUACUGGGCGUAAAGCGUGCGCAGGCGGUUUGCUAAGACCGAUGUGAAAUCCCCGGGCUCAACCUGGGAACUGCAUUGGUGACUGGCAGGCUAGAGUAUGGCAGAGGGGGGUAGAAUUCCACGUGUAGCAGUGAAAUGCGUAGAGAUGUGGAGGAAUACCGAUGGCGAAGGCAGCCCCCUGGGCCAAUACUGACGCUCAUGCACGAAAGCGUGGGGAGCAAACAGGAUUAGAUACCCUGGUAGUCCACGCCCUAAACGAUGUCAACUAGUUGUGGGGAUUCAUUUCCUUAGUAACGUAGCUAACGCGUGAAGUUGACCGCCUGGGGAGUACGGUCGCAAGAUUAAAACUCAAAGGAAUUGACGGGGUCAUAGCUGUUUCCU